UCCGAGUUGACCCCGGCAGUCUCCUAUGAGUCCCCACCAUAACGUGCUGGCAACAUAGGACGAGGGUUGCGCUCGUUGCGGGACUUAACCCAACAUCUCACGACACGAGCUGACGACAGCCAUGCACCACCUGUAUAGGACCCUUACGGACCCCCCAUCUCUGGAGGAUUUCCCUAUAUGUCAAACCCAGGUAAGGUGGGGAUGACGUUAGGAUAG
Molecule: unclassified non-coding RNA, 216 nt
Filed under: uncultured Nocardioidaceae bacterium
Lineage: Bacteria; Bacillati; Actinomycetota; Actinomycetes; Propionibacteriales; Nocardioidaceae
Description: contains 16S-23S intergenic spacer region
Source: RNAcentral